Molecule: ribosomal RNA, 2939 nt
Filed under: Deltaproteobacteria bacterium
Lineage: Bacteria; Pseudomonadati; Myxococcota; Myxococcia
Description: 23S ribosomal RNA
Rfam family: Bacterial large subunit ribosomal RNA
Source: RNAcentral
GGUCAAGCUACUAAGGGCGCAUGGUGGAUGCCUUGGCACCAGGAGGCGAUGAAGGACGCGGUUAACUGCGAAAUGCCACGGGGAGUUGUAAUCAAGCGUCGAUCCGUGGAUAUCCGAAUGGGGCAACCCGGCGGCCGUAAUGGGCCGUCACCAACCACUGAAUACAUAGGUGGAAGGAGCCAACCCGGGGAAGUGAAACAUCUCAGUACCCGGAGGAAGAGAAAUCAACCGAGACUCCGCUAGUAGUGGCGAGCGAAUGCGGAUCAGCCCAAACCAUUGGGGUAACCCAAUGGGGUUGUGGGACCUCGACAUGAGACUGUAGAGGCUAGCAGAACGGCAUGGGAAGGCCGGCCAUAGCGGGUGAUAGCCCCGUACGCGAAAGCUGAAGCAGCUCUAGAGGUAUCCCGAGUAGGACGGGACACGUGGAAGCCCGUCUGAAUCUGGGGGGACCAUCCUCCAAGGCUAAGUACUCCCUGGUGACCGAUAGUGGACUAGUACCGCGAGGGAAAGGUGAAAAGAACCCCUGCGAGGGGAGUGAAAAGAAUCUGAAACCGUGCGUCUACAAGCAGACGAAGCACUAUGGCCUCUGGCAACGUGCGACGUCGUGCCUUUUGCAUAAUGAGCCAGCGAGUUAUGGUACGCGGCAAGGUUAAGACGUUAGUCGUAGCCGAAGCGAAAGCGAGUCUGAAUAGGGCGCUAAGUCGCGUGUUAUAGACCCGAAGCCCAGCGAUCUAUCCUUGAGCAGGCUGAAGCGUGGGUAAGACUGCGUGGAGGGCCGAACUCACCACAGUUGAAAAUGUGGGGGAUGACUUGAGGAUCGGAGUGAAAGGCUAAUCAAGCUGGGGAAUAGCUGGUUCUCGCCGAAAUAUAUUGAGGUAUAGGCUCGAUGGAUCUGCACUGGGGGUAGAGCACUGGAUGAGCUAGGGGGACCACAAUCUUACCGAACUCAACCAAACUCCGAAUACCGGUGACAGCAAGUCGGGACUCAGGCCGUGGGAGCUAAGUUUCACGGCCAAAAGGGAAAGAACCCAGACCAUCAGCUAAGGUCCCCAAUUCUUUGCUAAGUGGGAAAGGAUGUGGGAGCGCUUAGACAGCCAGGAGGUUGGCUUAGAAGCAGCCAUCCUUUAAAGAAAGCGUAACAGCUCACUGGUCGAGCGAACCUGCGCCGAAAAUUCAGCGGGUCUCAAGCAAAGAACCGAAGCUAUGGGUGUGCGCAAGCACGCGGUAGGCGAGUACUCUCUUCUGCGGUGAAGCCGUACGGUAACGAGCGGUGGAGCGUAGAGAGGAGCUAAUGCUGGCAUGAGUAGCGAUAAACAGGGUGAAAAACCCUGUCGCCGUAAGCCCAAGGGUUCCUGGGUAAAGAUAAUCUGCUCAGGGUUAGUCGGUCCCUAAGGUGAGGCCGAAAGGCGUAGUCGAUGGGAAGCAGGCGAAUAUUCCUGCACCAGCACGGAUAGUUCUACGAGGGGGGACGGAGGAAGAUAGCCGAGCCAUCUACUGGAUGGUGGUUCAAGCUCAUAGGCUGAGACUGUAGGAGGCAAUGGCCACAAACGCAGUCUCGAGGCCGAGGGGUGAUGAGGAGUGCCUUCGGGCGCAAAACUCGGUGAUUCUCGGCUUCCUGGAAAAGCCUCGCGUAGGUCAACUGCUGUGCUGACCGUACCGCAAACCGACACAGGUGGGUGGGAAGAAUAUUCCAAGGCGCUUGGGAGAACUCGGGUUAAGGAACUCGGCCAAUUGACACCGUAACUUCGGGAGAAGGUGUGCCCAUACUCGUGAACCGCGAACGCGGGGAGCGAGUGGGGGUCGCAGAGAAUCGGGGGUAGCGACUGUUUACCAAAAACACAGGACUCUGCUAAGUCGUAAGACGACGUAUAGGGUCUGACGCCUGCCCGGUGCCGGAAGGUUAACAGGAGAUGUCAGGAGCAAUCCAAAGCAUCGAAUCGAAGCCCCGGUAAACGGCGGCCGUAACUAUAACGGUCCUAAGGUAGCGAAAUUCCUUGGCGGGUAAGUUCCGUCCUGCACGAAUGGCGUAACGACUUCCCCACUGUCUCGACCCGGGACUCAGCGAAAUUGACCUGGGGGUGAAGAUGCCCCCAACCCGCGGAAAGACGGAAAGACCCUGUGCACCUUUACUGCAACUUGACACUGUUUUUCGGGCUGAUCUGUGUAGGAUAGGUGGGAGGCUUUGAAGCAGGGUCGCUAGAUUCUGUGGAGCCAACGUUGAAAUACCACCCUGGUAAGUCUGGAAAACUAACCGAGGUCCGUAAGCCGGAUCCGGGACAAUGUCUGGUGGGUAGUUUGACUGGGGCGGUCACCUCCGAAAGAGUAACGGAGGCGCACAAAGGUACCCUCAGGCCGAUUGGAAACCGGCCGUAGAGUGUAAAGGCAUAAGGGUGCUUGACUGCAACACAUACAAGUGGAGCAGGGACGAAAGUCGGUCUUAGUGAUCCGGUGGUUCUGUAUGGAAGGGCCAUCGCUCAACGGAUAAAAGGUACUCCGGGGAUAACAGGCUUAUCACGCCCAAGAGUUCACAUCGACGGCGUGGUUUGGCACCUCGAUGUCGGCUCAUCGCAUCCUGGGGCUGUAGUCGGUCCCAAGGGUUUGGCUGUUCGCCAAUUAAAGCGGUACGCGAGCUGGGUUCAGAACGUCGUGAGACAGUUCGGUCCCUAUCUUCCGUGGGCGCAGGAAUCUUGAGGAGAGCUGUCCCUAGUACGAGAGGACCGGGAUGGACGGACCCCUGGUGUUCCGGUUGUUCUGCCAAGAGCAUCGCCGGGUAGCCACGUCCGGAAUGGAUAACCGCUGAAAGCAUCUAAGCGGGAAGCCAACUCCAAGAUGAGGAUUCCCCGAAGGUUCGUCGUAGACUACGACGUUGAUAGGUCGGAUGUGGAAGUGCUGCAAGGCACGGAGCUAACCGAUACUAAUCGACCGUUCGGCUUGGCCAC